Molecule: ribosomal RNA, 255 nt
Filed under: uncultured bacterium
Lineage: Bacteria
Description: partial 16S ribosomal RNA
Rfam family: Bacterial small subunit ribosomal RNA
Source: RNAcentral
UACAGAGGUCUCAAGCGUUGUUCGGAUUCAUUGGGCGUAAAGGGUGCGUAGGUGGCGCUGUAAGUCGGGUGUGAAAUUUCGGAGCUUAACUCCGAAACUGCAUUCGAUACUGCGGUGCUUGAGGACUGGAGAGGAGACUGGAAUUCAUGGUGUAGCAGUGAAAUGCGUAGAGAUCAUGAGGAGGACCAGUGGCGAAGGCGGGUCUCUGGACAGUUCCUGACACUGAGGCACGAAGGCCAGGGGAGCAAAACGGGG